AACGAACGCUGGCGGCAGGCUUAACACAUGCAAGUCGAGCGCCCCGCAAGGGGAGCGGCAGACGGGUGAGUAACACGUGGGAAUCUACCCAUCCCUGCGGAACAACUCCGGGAAACUGGAGCUAAUACCGCAUACGCCCUACGGGGAAAGAUUUAUCGGGGAUGGAUGAGCCCGCGUUGGAUUAGCUAGUUGGUGGGGUA
RNAcentral lists this ribosomal RNA (200 nucleotides) under uncultured bacterium. Its description in RNAcentral is "partial 16S ribosomal RNA". It matches the Rfam family "Bacterial small subunit ribosomal RNA", at positions 29 to 259 of the family's 1533-position model. The record is from RNAcentral.